Molecule: long non-coding RNA, 501 nt
Filed under: Homo sapiens (human)
Lineage: Eukaryota; Metazoa; Chordata; Mammalia; Primates; Hominidae
Description: non-protein coding lnc-TOM1L1-4:1
Source: RNAcentral
UGAUAUGCUUUACUGACAGGAAGUUUGAAUAGUGUUUAUUAUUAAUUACAUGAUUUCAAAUUCCAGAAACACAGAGUAUAUAAAUAUAUAAUUAAUUUAUUGAACAAAUAAGUCUGACCACUCAUUUAAAAAAUGAUGCAUGUCACUUUUUUUAAUGUUUCAAAUCACUUUGUUCUCUUUUGUAAGCAAUCUCUUUUACUGCUAAGCAUGUUGCCCAUUGCAAUCACCCACAGAUCUGGUUGUUCUGUAACCCUCAGGAGAGUGCCCAGUUCUCCCAGAAUGAAGCACUGAUUUAUCAGAACUAAUUUUGUCGCAUUUAUUCAAAGAGAACUAAAGCUGUAUUCAAGGCGCACAGUUUUCAUUCUGCUGAUUCAGGUGUUGUGUAUUAAUCUACCUAAUGUUGAUGUCAGGGAGCAUUGUUUUUUACUGCCAAACAGUUCUCAGAGCUGCCAUGCUCAUUUUUGAUGAGGAAGGCAAAGAUGGUUGGGUAGUUUACAACAA